AAUCCUUCAGUCAAACAACAUCUCAAAUGAGCUGUGGGCAUAAAAAUAUGUCAAACCUAAUCACUUAUCUCUUUAUAUGUCUCGAUCUGAAGGUGAUAUUUAGUUGAUGAUACAUUAGAAAUUUUUUUUAAUUAUCAUCCUGCUUUGGCCAAAGACUUCUAAAUCAACGACCUAUGAGAUCACAUAGAAUGUUCGCUCUCCUUAUUAGGAGUGACUGAUCCCUUAUUGAUCACUCAUAACCUCCAUGCAUUCUUCACCAUAUCCAAAAUACCCCAC
Molecule: long non-coding RNA, 276 nt
Filed under: Elaeis guineensis (African oil palm)
Lineage: Eukaryota; Viridiplantae; Streptophyta; Magnoliopsida; Arecales; Arecaceae
Description: long non-coding RNA (EGUI_LNC047086)
Source: RNAcentral